AAGUGGUAUCCAUUUAAAACUAAGAAGGACAAUUUGAACUUGCUACAGCAAGAAAGUCUAACCUAUUCCAGCAUUCUCCCCACUGUGAGAUAGGCUGUUAUAUAGACUGAAACAGU
This 116-nucleotide small nucleolar RNA is filed under the name Octodon degus (degu). RNAcentral's name for it is "Small nucleolar RNA SNORA28 (ENSODEG00000024134.1)". It matches the Rfam family "Small nucleolar RNA SNORA28". From Rfam's summary of the family: ACA28 is a member of the H/ACA class of snoRNA that guide the sites of modification of uridines to pseudouridines. The record is from RNAcentral. Lineage: Eukaryota; Metazoa; Chordata; Mammalia; Rodentia; Octodontidae.